RNAcentral lists this ribosomal RNA (482 nucleotides) under uncultured bacterium. Its description in RNAcentral is "partial 16S ribosomal RNA". It matches the Rfam family "Bacterial small subunit ribosomal RNA", at positions 30 to 507 of the family's 1533-position model. The record is from RNAcentral.
AUUGAACGCUGGCGGCAUGCUUUACACAUGCAAGUCGAACGGUAACAGGCCGCGAGGUGCUGACGAGUGGCGGACGGGUGAGUAAUACUUCCGAACGGGCCCAGUCGCUGGGGGUAACUACUCGCAACAGGAACUAAUACCGCAUACGAGCUAUGGUUGUAAACGGGGUGCCGUAAGGGCUCGCGCGAUUGGUGCUGUCGCUGACAGAUUAGGUAGCUGGUGGGGUAAAGGCUCACCAAGUCAACGAUCUGUAGCUGGACUGAGAGGACGAGCCGCCACACUGGAACUGAGACACGGCCCAGACUCCUACGGGAGGCAGCAGUGGGGAAUUUUGGACAAUGGGCGCAAGCCUGAUCCAGCAAUGCCGCGUGAGGGAAGAAGGCCUUCGGGUCGUAAACUGCUUUUGUACGGAACGAAACGGCUUUGGAUAAUACCCGGAGCUAAUGACGGUACCGAAACAGUAAGCACCGGCUAACUACGUG